CGGUGAAUAGCGCAGCUUGGUAGCGCAUCUGGUUUGGGAUCAGAGGGUCGGGGGUUCGAAUCCCUCUUCACCGACCA
RNAcentral lists this transfer RNA (77 nucleotides) under Vibrio parahaemolyticus. Its description in RNAcentral is "tRNA-Pro". It matches the Rfam family "tRNA". From Rfam's summary of the family: Transfer RNA (tRNA) molecules are approximately 80 nucleotides in length. Their secondary structure includes four short double-helical elements and three loops (D, anti-codon, and T loops). Further hydrogen bonds mediate the characteristic L-shaped molecular structure. tRNAs have two regions of fundamental functional importance: the anti-codon, which is responsible for specific mRNA codon recognition, and the 3' end, to which the tRNAs corresponding amino acid is attached (by aminoacyl-tRNA synthetases). tRNAs cope with the degeneracy of the genetic code in two manners: having more than one tRNA (with a specific anti-codon) for a particular amino acid; and 'wobble' base-pairing, i.e. permitting non-standard base-pairing at the 3rd anti-codon position. Lineage: Bacteria; Pseudomonadati; Pseudomonadota; Gammaproteobacteria; Vibrionales; Vibrionaceae. The record is from RNAcentral. RNAcentral also lists the same sequence under 1 other name.